Molecule: long non-coding RNA, 441 nt
Organism: Syngnathus typhle (broad-nosed pipefish)
Lineage: Eukaryota; Metazoa; Chordata; Actinopteri; Syngnathiformes; Syngnathidae
Exons: 3
Source: RefSeq, a predicted model, not a curated record
CCACAUGCUCCAUUUGUGUAGACCAUUUGUUUGGCCACCUUGGUACUCAGCCUUGAUGAGACCUGGCCUGUCUCGCCAAAAAAAUGACCGACAUUUUAAGAAGAUCCAUGGGACCAGUGUUAUUCUCCUUUUCUAUUGACUCCAAGCAACAGCACAGGGAGAGCCAAGACUUUCCAAAAGACCUGUACAACGGAGGCCAGCAUCAUGAAACACAAACUCCCAAACCAGCAUGGUAACAUGAAACACAAACUCCCAAACCAGCAUGGUAACACACAGGACUUCUUCUGAUUCUUCUUAUGUUCUUGGGUCUUGCCUGUGGUUCUACACGCAUCCAGAAAUGCAGACAAAGAACAGCUUGGCCUUUAACAGUCGGAAGCCUCUGAUUUUACUCUACUAAGCCUCAGAUACAGUCUGUUUUCUGUUCUCAUUCAGUCAUUCAGU